Molecule: ribosomal RNA, 1530 nt
Filed under: Salmonella enterica subsp. enterica
Lineage: Bacteria; Pseudomonadati; Pseudomonadota; Gammaproteobacteria; Enterobacterales; Enterobacteriaceae
Description: bacterial SSU rRNA
Rfam family: Bacterial small subunit ribosomal RNA
Source: RNAcentral
AGAGUUUGAUCAUGGCUCAGAUUGAACGCUGGCGGCAGGCCUAACACAUGCAAGUCGAACGGUAACAGGAAGCAGCUUGCUGCUUCGCUGACGAGUGGCGGACGGGUGAGUAAUGUCUGGGAAACUGCCUGAUGGAGGGGGAUAACUACUGGAAACGGUGGCUAAUACCGCAUAACGUCGCAAGACCAAAGAGGGGGACCUUCGGGCCUCUUGCCAUCAGAUGUGCCCAGAUGGGAUUAGCUUGUUGGUGAGGUAACGGCUCACCAAGGCGACGAUCCCUAGCUGGUCUGAGAGGAUGACCAGCCACACUGGAACUGAGACACGGUCCAGACUCCUACGGGAGGCAGCAGUGGGGAAUAUUGCACAAUGGGCGCAAGCCUGAUGCAGCCAUGCCGCGUGUAUGAAGAAGGCCUUCGGGUUGUAAAGUACUUUCAGCGGGGAGGAAGGUGUUGUGGUUAAUAACCGCAGCAAUUGACGUUACCCGCAGAAGAAGCACCGGCUAACUCCGUGCCAGCAGCCGCGGUAAUACGGAGGGUGCAAGCGUUAAUCGGAAUUACUGGGCGUAAAGCGCACGCAGGCGGUCUGUCAAGUCGGAUGUGAAAUCCCCGGGCUCAACCUGGGAACUGCAUUCGAAACUGGCAGGCUUGAGUCUUGUAGAGGGGGGUAGAAUUCCAGGUGUAGCGGUGAAAUGCGUAGAGAUCUGGAGGAAUACCGGUGGCGAAGGCGGCCCCCUGGACAAAGACUGACGCUCAGGUGCGAAAGCGUGGGGAGCAAACAGGAUUAGAUACCCUGGUAGUCCACGCCGUAAACGAUGUCUACUUGGAGGUUGUGCCCUUGAGGCGUGGCUUCCGGAGCUAACGCGUUAAGUAGACCGCCUGGGGAGUACGGCCGCAAGGUUAAAACUCAAAUGAAUUGACGGGGGCCCGCACAAGCGGUGGAGCAUGUGGUUUAAUUCGAUGCAACGCGAAGAACCUUACCUGGUCUUGACAUCCACAGAACUUUCCAGAGAUGGAUUGGUGCCUUCGGGAACUGUGAGACAGGUGCUGCAUGGCUGUCGUCAGCUCGUGUUGUGAAAUGUUGGGUUAAGUCCCGCAACGAGCGCAACCCUUAUCCUUUGUUGCCAGCGGUUAGGCCGGGAACUCAAAGGAGACUGCCAGUGAUAAACUGGAGGAAGGUGGGGAUGACGUCAAGUCAUCAUGGCCCUUACGACCAGGGCUACACACGUGCUACAAUGGCGCAUACAAAGAGAAGCGACCUCGCGAGAGCAAGCGGACCUCAUAAAGUGCGUCGUAGUCCGGAUUGGAGUCUGCAACUCGACUCCAUGAAGUCGGAAUCGCUAGUAAUCGUGGAUCAGAAUGCCACGGUGAAUACGUUCCCGGGCCUUGUACACACCGCCCGUCACACCAUGGGAGUGGGUUGCAAAAGAAGUAGGUAGCUUAACCUUCGGGAGGGCGCUUACCACUUUGUGAUUCAUGACUGGGGUGAAGUCGUAACAAGGUAACCGUAGGGGAACCUGCGGUUGGAUCACCU